This 425-nucleotide ribosomal RNA is filed under the name uncultured bacterium. RNAcentral's name for it is "partial 16S ribosomal RNA". It matches the Rfam family "Bacterial small subunit ribosomal RNA", at positions 354 to 796 of the family's 1533-position model. The record is from RNAcentral.
GUGGGGAAUCUUGCGCAAUGGGCGAAAGCCUGACGCAGCCAUGCCGCGUGAAUGAUGAAGGUCUUAGGAUUGUAAAAUUCUUUCACCGGGGACGAUAAUGACGGUACCCGGAGAAGAAGCCCCGGCUAACUUCGUGCCAGCAGCCGCGGUAGUACGAAGGGGGCUAGCGUUGCUCGGAAUUACUGGGCGUAAAGGGCGCGUAGGCGGACAGUUUAGUCAGAGGUGAAAGCCCAGGGCUCAACCUUGGAAUUGCCUUUGAUACUGGCUGUCUUGAGUACGGGAGAGGUGAGUGGAACUCCGAGUGUAGAGGUGAAAUUCGUAGAUAUUCGGAAGAACACCAGUGGCGAAGGCGACUCACUGGCCCGUUACUGACGCUGAGGCGCGAAAGCGUGGGGAGCAAACAGGAUUAGAUACCCGUGUAGUCC